GCCACUUUAGCUCAGUUGGUAGAGCAGCGCUUUCGUAAAGCGGAGGUCGUGGGUUCGAGUCCCAUGAGUGGCUC
Molecule: transfer RNA, 74 nt
Filed under: Prolixibacter sp. NT017
Lineage: Bacteria; Pseudomonadati; Bacteroidota; Bacteroidia; Marinilabiliales; Prolixibacteraceae
Description: tRNA-Thr
Rfam family: tRNA
About the family: Transfer RNA (tRNA) molecules are approximately 80 nucleotides in length.
Source: RNAcentral